RNAcentral lists this ribosomal RNA (391 nucleotides) under Chrysophyceae sp. RNAcentral's name for it is "partial small subunit ribosomal RNA". It matches the Rfam family "Eukaryotic small subunit ribosomal RNA", at positions 582 to 975 of the family's 1831-position model. The record is from RNAcentral. Lineage: Eukaryota; Chrysophyceae.
AUUCCAGCUCCAAUAGCGUAUACUAAAGUUGUUGCAGUUAAAAAGCUCGUAGUUGAAUUUCUGGUCUUGGACAGCGGUCUGCCUCAAAAGAGGUACGCACCAUCUAUCCGAGUCCAUCCUCGGGGAAAACAUGUGUGUGAUUCAGUUCAUGUGCAUGGGAUCCUCGUCAUUUACUGUGAGCAAAAUAGAGUGUUCAAAGCAGGCUUAUGCCGUUGAAUAUUUUAGCAUGGAAUAAUAAGAUAAGACCUUGGUCUAUUUUGUUGGUUUGUACUCCAAGGUAAUGAUUAAUAGGGACAGUUGGGGGUAUUCGUAUUCAAUUGUCAGAGGUGAAAUUCUUGGAUUUAUUGAAGACGAACUACUGCGAAAGCAUUUACCAAGGAUGUUUUCAUUG